Molecule: ribosomal RNA, 531 nt
Filed under: uncultured bacterium
Lineage: Bacteria
Description: bacterial SSU rRNA
Rfam family: Bacterial small subunit ribosomal RNA
Source: RNAcentral
AAUAGAUACCCGGGUAGUCCACGCCGUAAACGAUGAGUGCUAAGUGUUAGAGGGUUUCCGCCCCUUAGUGCUGCAGCUAACGCAUUAAGCACUCCGCCUGGGGAGUACGGUCGCAAGACUGAAACUCAAAGGAAUUGACGGGGGCCCGCACAAGCGGUGGAGCAUGUGGUUUAAUUCGAAGCAACGCGAAGAACCUUACCAGGUCUUGACAUCCUCUGACAACUCUAGAGAUAGAGCGUUCCCCCUCGGGGGACAGAGUGACAGGUGGUGCAUGGUUGUCGUCAGCUCGUGUCGUGAGAUGUUGGGUUAAGUCCCGCAACGAGCGCAACCCUUGAUCUUAGUUGCCAGCAUUUAGUUGGGCACUCUAAGGUGACUGCCGGUGACAAACCGGAGGAAGGUGGGGAUGACGUCAAAUCAUCAUGCCCCUUAUGACCUGGGCUACACACGUGCUACAAUGGAUGGUACAAAGGGCUGCAAGACCGCGAGGUCAAGCCAAUCCCAUAAAAACCCAUUCUCAGUUCGGAUUGUAGG